RNAcentral lists this microRNA precursor (118 nucleotides) under Prunus dulcis (almond). RNAcentral describes it as "sRNA ncRNA". The stretch from base 11 to 110 matches the Rfam family "MIR164 microRNA precursor family". Lineage: Eukaryota; Viridiplantae; Streptophyta; Magnoliopsida; Rosales; Rosaceae. The record is from RNAcentral.
AAACUUGUGUUGGAGAAGGGGAGCACGUGCAAAGUUUUGCUAUAAGCUUAGCUUCAGCUCCCAUGCAGAAGCAUUUGAGCUAGAACUUGCACGUGCCCUGCUUCUCCAACAAGAGCUA